AAGCGGAGGAAAAGAAACCAACAGGGAUUGCCUCAGUAACGGCGAGUGAAGCGGCAAAAGCUCAAAUUUGAAAUCUAGCACCUUCGGUGUUCGAGUUGUAAUUUGAAGAUGGUAACCUUGGGUUUGGCUCUUGUCUAUGUUCCUUGGAACAGGACGUCAUAGAGGGUGAGAAUCCCGUCUGAUGAGAUGCCCAUUCCUAUGUAAGGUGCUAUCGAAGAGUCGAGUUGUUUGGGAAUGCAGCUCUAAGUGGGUGGUAAAUUCCAUCUAAAGCUAAAUAUUGGCGAGAGACCGAUAGCGAACAAGUACAGUGAUGGAAAGAUGAAAAGAACUUUGAAAAGAGAGUGAAAAAGUACGUGAAAUUGUUGAAAGGGAAGGGCAUUAGAUCAGACUUGGUGUUUUACGAUUAUCUUCUCUUCUUGAGUUGUGCACUCGUAUUUCACUGGGCCAGCAUCGAUUCGGAUGGCAAGAUAAUGGCAGUUGAAUGUGGCUUCACUUCGGUGGAGUGUUAUAGCUUCUGCUGAUAUUGCCUGUCUGGAUCGAGGGCUGCGUCUUUUGACUAGGAUGCUGGCGUAAUGAUCUAAUGCCGCCCGUCUUGAAACACGGACCAAGGAGUCUAACGUCUAUGCGAGUGUUUGGGUGUAAAACCCGUACGCGUAAUGAAAGUGAACGUAGGUGAGAGCUCUUUUUUGAGUGCAUCAUCGACCGAUCCUGAUGUUUUCGGAUGGAUUUGAGUAAGAGCAUAGCUGUUGGGACCCGAAAGAUGGUGAACUAUGCCUGAAUAGGGUGAAGCCAGAGGAAACUCUGGUGGAGGCUCGUAGCGGUUCUGACGUGCAAAUCGAUCGUCGAAUUUGGGUAUAGGGCGAAA
RNAcentral lists this ribosomal RNA (865 nucleotides) under Pichia kudriavzevii. Its description in RNAcentral is "partial large subunit ribosomal RNA". It matches the Rfam family "Eukaryotic large subunit ribosomal RNA", at positions 48 to 928 of the family's 3401-position model. The record is from RNAcentral. Lineage: Eukaryota; Fungi; Ascomycota; Pichiomycetes; Pichiales; Pichiaceae. RNAcentral also lists the same sequence under 1 other name.